CACUUGGAUUCAUCAUGCAAGUCAAAGGAACAGACUUCUACGGCAUCAGUAGGCUGGCAGUUCGCCAAAAACUUGUGAUGAUUGAAGACACAUCCUAUUGUUCGGCCUGCUGCUGCAGAACAUUAGGAAACGCAGCAUGCAAGGUGGGUGCUGAAGCUAAGAUGGGACAAAAGUUUGCAUGAAUACCAAAGUGCAAGAUUUCUGGAUAGAUUCAAAGAAUCAUAGAACUAUAGAGUUGGUAGAAGCCACGACUUAAAACAGAUUUAUACCAUGAAUUGAUACUACACAAUAAAAUUUUGAAUUACAAU
Long non-coding RNA from Podarcis raffonei (Aeolian wall lizard), 308 nucleotides. RefSeq lists it as uncharacterized. Lineage: Eukaryota; Metazoa; Chordata; Lepidosauria; Squamata; Lacertidae. The transcript has 2 exons. The record is from RefSeq and is a predicted model, not a curated record.